This 590-nucleotide ribosomal RNA is filed under the name Ambrosiella beaveri. RNAcentral's name for it is "eukaryotic LSU rRNA". It matches the Rfam family "Eukaryotic large subunit ribosomal RNA", at positions 31 to 643 of the family's 3401-position model. Lineage: Eukaryota; Fungi; Ascomycota; Sordariomycetes; Microascales; Ceratocystidaceae. The record is from RNAcentral.
AACUUAAGCAUAUCAAUAAGCGGAGGAAAAGAAACCAACAGGGAUUGCCCUAGUAACGGCGAGUGAAGCGGCAACAGCUCAAAUUUGAAAUCUGGCUACUUUGUAGUCCGAGUUGUAAUUUGUAGAGGAUGCUUUUGGUGAAGUGCUUUCUGAGUUCCCUGGAACGGGACGCCAGAGAGGGUGAGAGCCCCGUACAGUUAGCAACUGAUCCUUUGUAUAGCUCCUUCGACGAGUCGAGUAGUUUGGGAAUGCUGCUCUAAAUGGGAGGUAUAUCUCUUCUAAAGCUAAAUAUAGGCUAGAGACCGAUAGCGCACAAGUAGAGUGAUCGAAAGAUGAAAAGCACUUUGAAAAGAGAGUUAAACAGCACGUGAAAUUGUUGAAAGGGAAGCGCCUAUGACCAGACUUGUCUCUAUCAGUUUUGGUAGUUUUCGGACUGCUUUACUCUGUUAGUACAGGCCAACAUCAGUUUGUUGUCGGGGAGAAAGGCUUAGGGAAUGUGGCUCCCUCGGGAGUGUUAUAGACCUUUGCAUAAUACCCUUCGGCAGACUGAGGACCGCGCUUCGGCAAGGAUGUUGGCGUAAUGGUCAUCA